This 307-nucleotide unclassified non-coding RNA is filed under the name Lyophyllum chilense. RNAcentral describes it as "Fibulochlamys chilensis partial internal transcribed spacer region". The stretch from base 1 to 46 matches the Rfam family "Eukaryotic small subunit ribosomal RNA", at positions 1786 to 1831 of the family's 1831-position model. The record is from RNAcentral. Lineage: Eukaryota; Fungi; Basidiomycota; Agaricomycetes; Agaricales; Lyophyllaceae.
AAGUCGUAACAAGGUUUCCGUAGGUGAACCUGCGGAAGGAUCAUUAUUGAAUAAACUUGGUUGGGCUGUUGCUGGCUUCUUGGAGCAUGUGCACGCCCAGCACCAAUUUUUUACCACCUGUGCACCUUUUGUGGACCUGGAUACCUCUCGAGGAAACUCGGUUGGAGGACUGCUGUGCGAAAGCCAGCUUUCCUUACAUUUCCGGUUCAUGUUUUCACAUACCCCAUAUGAAUGUAACAGAAUGUCGUUUACUGGCCUUUGUGCCUUUAAUCAAAUACAACUUUCAGCAACGGAUCUCUUGGCUCUC